RNAcentral lists this unclassified non-coding RNA (381 nucleotides) under uncultured bacterium. RNAcentral's name for it is "contains 16S-23S intergenic spacer region". The record is from RNAcentral.
UCCGGCUUAUCACCGGCAGUUUCUUUAGAGUGCCCAACUAAAUGAUGGCAACUAGGGGCGAGGGUUGCGCUCGUUGCGGGACUUAACCCAACAUCUCACGACACGAGCUGACGACAGCCAUGCAGCACCUGUGCCGGCUCCUCUUGCGAGGUCGGUCCCCUUUCGGUUCCCUACCACCGACAUGUCAAACCCAGGUAAGGUUUUUCGCGUUGCGUCGAAUUGAACCACAUGCUCCACCGCUUGUGCGGAUCCCCGUCAAUUCCUUUGAGUUUUAGCCUUGCGGCCGUACUCCCCAGGCGGGGCACUUAAUGCGUUAGCUACGGCACGGAACCCGUUGAUAAGGCCCCACACCUAGUGCCCAACGUUUACGGCGUGGACUAC